This 253-nucleotide ribosomal RNA is filed under the name uncultured bacterium. RNAcentral describes it as "partial 16S ribosomal RNA". It matches the Rfam family "Bacterial small subunit ribosomal RNA", at positions 524 to 776 of the family's 1533-position model. The record is from RNAcentral.
UACAGAGGUGACAAACGUUGUCCGGAAUUAUUGGGCGUAAAGGGUGCGUAGGUGGGUUGGUAAGUCAGUGGUGAAAUCUCCGAGCUUAACUUGGAAACUGCCAUUGAUACUAUCAGUCUUGAAUACCGUGGAGGUCAGCGGAAUAUGUCAUGUAGCGGUGAAAUGCUUAGAUAUGACAUAGAACACCAAUUGCGAAGGCAGCUGACUACGCGAAUAUUGACACUGAUGCACGAAAGCGUGGGGAUCAAACAGG